UUUUCCAGUUAAUGUGGGAGGUUUUCGAACGAACCAAAUUUGAGAUGUCUAUAAAUAUAUGAAUCGGCUGUAAGGAACCGCCAUUUCCGACUACUCUCGUGUUUCUUCCGAACUCGCUCGUUCCUGAUUUGCAUCUAGGUGUAAAAUAUAUUUGCACACAUACAAUAAUGAUACACAAGUAUAAAUACGCGAUUCGAGUUGCUACAUUGUUGCCAACAAUGGCGGUCAGAGUGAGACAGCUGUGGGGAAUUCGGCUACAAACGCUUAUGUUUUUCAUUGCAUUUCUGUGCGACUUUAAACUCGUUGAAUCCUGUGUUGGCGACGAAGUCGGUGACUUGUUACUCUGCAGGUCCUGUGGACAUGAAUUGGCUUUUGAGAAAGAUGCCAACUUUAUCCACAGUCGACUUGCGCUCUCUUAUAGAAAUGAUACGGUUGUUGGAGAAAGAAGAGUGCCCGUCCAGCGGUUCGAAAACCCACAGGGCUACCAGUUUGAAGUCAUGACUUUCAGAAAGGCAGACGUUGUCAAGCACUGGCCUGCGGACAAACAUUUCACCUGGUAUCCUGGAUAUGCCUGGACAGUGGCUACAUGUCCGCGAUGUAACGCACACCUUGGUUGGGCUUUUCAACCCAUUGAAUGGCCAAAGACUUUAACCAAAGGGGAAUUUGAGGAAUCGGAGGAGACAUUUGUGGCCUUGGUCACUAAUCGAUUGUUACAAGAAAAAUUUGCAUCAACACUACUGACUCCGAAAUCAUUCAGAAGUUGACAUCUGCUGCAUUCAAAGCUACAAAUUAUACCUGGCUGUAAAAACUAUACUUUUUUUGCAUUUCAUAAUAAAUAAAUAGCAAUACAGCAUGUGGUAUUUCCUGUGAUUGUAAUACACAAAGUAAGCACUUGAGAUCGAUACUGUUACUGACAGUUUAACAUAACAGUCCAAAACUGCAAGCAUACCACAAUUCUAGAUAUAACAGCCAGACAGACAUUUAUCAUGUCAUGUAGCUUCUGGCUCUAGAUAACUAAUUGAACUACAGUUGGUUAGAUGAAACAUUCGUGUACACAUUAAGUUUUAUUGUAACAAAGAAACUUGUACACUAAGUUUAAAACAUUUUUUUCCCCAGCAGAAAAUAAAAUGGUGAUUAGAUGCAAAUUCCAUGAGAUAACAAGGUCAUUUUCCAUGAAGCAGUGGGGGCCCAAAUUUACAAGCAUUUUUUUUUUUUUUACUUUUUGUUUGGUUUAUUAAAAAUGUAAUUUCAAAUCUCACGGAUGUCUGUAAAACAAUACAAAUGAAAAUCCAAAAAAAUAAUAAUAAUAAUGGCCUCAAAAUUCCCACCCUCCCCAACACCCUAAGAUGUCUCUGCCCUACCCCAGCAUAGACCACAAACAUUGCAAGAACUGAUAGGAAUGAGCUAGUACUUUAUCUGUUGACUUAACCACAUUUUUUUUAGGGAUCUACUCCCAACUGAACAAAAGUAUAAAAACUGGAGGGGUCCACUAGUGCCAAGUCAACGCACCAUGGCUUUUGUUAAUUUAAAUCGCACAACCGUUAACAGGAAGAACAAUUUAUAGAAAUUGCCAUUCAUUUAACUACAAGAUGGCAUGCUUAUUCUAGUAGUUCCCCCCCCUAGAUGAAUGUGGGAAUUAUUGUGGUUUGACAAUUCAAAGGCAAGAAUUUGACAUUGUUUUAGAGGAGACAAAAAUGAAACAUGGCACAGACAGGAGAGGCUUCAGAAUGAGGAAAUGAAGCACAAAAUAAAAGUAAGAAAAUAUGGGUGGAUAACCAAAUGGGGGGGGGGGG
Oncorhynchus mykiss (rainbow trout) is the source of this 1793-nucleotide non-coding RNA. NCBI's taxonomy places the organism in Eukaryota, Metazoa, Chordata, Actinopteri, Salmoniformes, Salmonidae. The record is from RefSeq and is a predicted model, not a curated record.